GCUCGGGUGGCGGAAUUGGUCAUACGCGACUGACUUAAAAUCAGUUGGCCGCAAGGCCAUGUGGGUUCGACUCCCACCCCGAGCA
RNAcentral lists this transfer RNA (85 nucleotides) under Candidatus Yanofskybacteria bacterium RIFCSPLOWO2_01_FULL_49_25. RNAcentral's name for it is "tRNA-Leu". It matches the Rfam family "tRNA". From Rfam's summary of the family: Transfer RNA (tRNA) molecules are approximately 80 nucleotides in length. Their secondary structure includes four short double-helical elements and three loops (D, anti-codon, and T loops). Further hydrogen bonds mediate the characteristic L-shaped molecular structure. tRNAs have two regions of fundamental functional importance: the anti-codon, which is responsible for specific mRNA codon recognition, and the 3' end, to which the tRNAs corresponding amino acid is attached (by aminoacyl-tRNA synthetases). tRNAs cope with the degeneracy of the genetic code in two manners: having more than one tRNA (with a specific anti-codon) for a particular amino acid; and 'wobble' base-pairing, i.e. permitting non-standard base-pairing at the 3rd anti-codon position. The record is from RNAcentral. Lineage: Bacteria; Candidatus Yanofskyibacteriota.